AAUUCCCCUAUAGUUUGAGCAACCGGCACUAUUGAGGAUUGUAUUUCUUCAAUUUAUGAUCCCUCUAAGUACUACAAUGUACUGGCAAGAAAAAAGGGGUUUAUGAUUCAUCCAUUCUUUCUUUUUCUUCAUCUUCUUAAAUUCUUAAUCUACCAAACCUUGAUUCAAUGAAGGAAAAUUUCUUAUAUGUAUGUGAUGAUGAAGAAAACACUUCAACCGAACCAAACCCCCCACACCAACCCAAACCCA
This 249-nucleotide unclassified non-coding RNA is filed under the name Hevea brasiliensis (rubber tree). Lineage: Eukaryota; Viridiplantae; Streptophyta; Magnoliopsida; Malpighiales; Euphorbiaceae. The record is from RNAcentral.